GUAUCUUGCCUUGCUUAUGCAUUUGAUCCUGACUAAUCUCUGAAGCUAAACAAGCCUGGGUUAGUGCUUUAAUGGGAAACCAUCUGGGAAUCCUGGGUGCUUCAUGCA
This is a ribosomal RNA of Crocodylus porosus (Australian saltwater crocodile), 108 nucleotides long. Lineage: Eukaryota; Metazoa; Chordata; Crocodylia; Crocodylidae. The record is from Ensembl.